GAUGAACGCUGGCGGCGUGCCUAAUACAUGCAAGUCGAGCGAACAGACGAGGUGCUUGCUCCUCUGACGUUAGCGGCGGACGGGUGAGUAACACGUGGAUAACCUACCUAUAAGACUGGGAUGACUUCGGGAAACCGGAGCUAAUACCGGAUAAUAUAUUGAACCGCAUGGUUCAAUAGUGAAAGACGGUUUUGCUGUCACUUAUAGAUGGAUCCGCGCCGCAUUAGCUAGUUGGUAAGGUAACGGCUUACCAAGGCAACGAUGCGUAGCCGACCUGAGAGGGUGAUCGGCCACACUGGAACUGAGACACGGUCCAGACUCCUACGGGAGGCAGCAGUAGGGAAUCUUCCGCAAUGGGCGAAAGCCUGACGGAGCAACGCCGCGUGAGUGAUGAAGGUCUUCGGAUCGUAAAACUCUGUUAUUAGGGAAGAACAAAUGUGUAAGUAACUAUGCACGUCUUGACGGUACCUAAUCAGAAAGCCACGGCUAACUACGUG
This 497-nucleotide ribosomal RNA is filed under the name uncultured bacterium. RNAcentral's name for it is "partial 16S ribosomal RNA". It matches the Rfam family "Bacterial small subunit ribosomal RNA", at positions 28 to 507 of the family's 1533-position model. The record is from RNAcentral.